UUGCAGCCAUAUCAUGUUGCAACACCGGUUCUAGUACGAUCAACGAAGUUAAAUAAUAUUGAGCCUGGUCAGUAUCUAGAUGGGUGACCGCUUUGGAAUACAAAGUGCUGUAAG
Non-coding RNA from Acanthosepion pharaonis, 114 nucleotides. NCBI's taxonomy places the organism in Eukaryota, Metazoa, Mollusca, Cephalopoda, Sepiida, Sepiidae. The record is from the annotation of a GenBank genome assembly.